RNAcentral lists this ribosomal RNA (506 nucleotides) under uncultured bacterium. RNAcentral describes it as "partial 16S ribosomal RNA". It matches the Rfam family "Bacterial small subunit ribosomal RNA", at positions 29 to 523 of the family's 1533-position model. The record is from RNAcentral.
AGUGAACGCUGGCGGUAGGCCUAACACAUGCAAGUCGAACGGCAGCACAGGAGAGCUUGCUCUCUGGGUGGCGAGUGGCGGACGGGUGAGGAAUACAUCGGAAUCUACUUUUUCGUGGGGGAUAACGUAGGGAAACUUACGCUAAUACCGCAUACGACCUACGGGUGAAAGCAGGGGACCUUCGGGCCUUGCGCGAUUGAAUGAGCCGAUGUCGGAUUAGCUAGUUGGCGGGGUAAAGGCCCACCAAGGCGACGAUCCGUAGCUGGUCUGAGAGGAUGAUCAGCCACACUGGAACUGAGACACGGUCCAGACUGCUACGGGAGGCAGCAGUGGGGAAUAUUGGACAAUGGGCGCAAGCCUGAUCCAGCCAUACCGCGUGGGUGAAGAAGGCCUUCGGGUUGUAAAGCCCUUUUGUUGGGAGAGAAAUCCAGCUGGCUAAUACCCGGUUGGGAUGACGGUACCCAAAGAAUAAGCACCGGCUAACUUCGUGCCAGCCGCCGCAGUAA